Long non-coding RNA from Monomorium pharaonis (pharaoh ant), 3679 nucleotides. RefSeq lists it as uncharacterized. The record is from RefSeq and is a predicted model, not a curated record. The transcript is spliced from 3 exons. Lineage: Eukaryota; Metazoa; Arthropoda; Insecta; Hymenoptera; Formicidae.
ACGUGUAAUUUCAGAGUAACGUAACCUGUUAUAUUCGGUUACAUUGCUGUUACACUGCUGCUAUAUUACUGUGUUCACUGGGGAUUGUACACCGAACCCCAAUUACUUUCUCGAGGAGUUCUGUAAAUAUAUGCGUCUUGUCCGACCGGUUCCCGUUACGCAUAAGCACAAAAAACGCGCCUUUUACUUCAAAGAUUUAUAUAAUUGCGUUUUUUUACGUGUUUUUACGUAACAUGGCUAAGAAAGCGCUAGAGCGAUCGUAUACCGGCCCGUAUAAGAUUAUAACGCGUCUCGGAUCGUAUGUUCAACAUCAAUUAACGGAAAUCCCAAGAGCGUGUCCGUCGAACUAUUAAAAUCAGCGUAUUUCAUCUCUGACGAUUCCAUAUGCGCUCCUAUACCCUCCGAGAAGACACACGAUCAAGACAUAAUUCCGAACCCGCCCGCACCUAAGACGUAUUCUCGUAAAAGGGUCACAUUUGCGCCGGCAACCAAACAAAGCAUAAUCCAAUCAAAAGACUGAAAAUGUAAUUAUAUAUCUCAUAUUUUAUAUUAUUAGCUGUAAGUUAUAUUAUUAGCUGUAAGUUAUAUUAUUCACCAUAAAGUUACCCAAAGUACGUACAAGCGUACACAAGUUAAGAUAUCCUGGCCAACCUUGUGCAAUAGCACAAAAUAUAACGCAUAAGCAUAUCCGUUCAUUUAAUUUUUAAUCGCAACAUAAACAUUUAUUUCAUCAACACUCGGGAGGGAGUGUGUAGGGAGCGCUAGCUCUGUCUUCCCCCAUAGAGGUUGGCCAGACUGUAAAGAGAAAGAGAGACGUGUAGACGCAAUAUACGCGUGGCUGUGAAUAAAGCUGCUGUUUGUAAUAAUUUCGGUGGUUUGCCAUUCACCCGAAUUCUUCCCGCUAUAAUGUCGGAAGUAGGCCGACUACGAGGAGCGCACACGGCCCCCCGGCGUCUUGCUCAACCUACACCGUUUCCGUAUCUUAAGUAAAACCUAAGAUUCUGCCAAUUAUUCUUACAUCAUUCGGACAAAUGUUCUUCUUAAAAUUUAAAAAAACGUAAAGAAUAAUUGAAAGAUAAUAUAAGUUUAUAAAAGCUGAAGAAAUUUUCACAAGGAUUAAAACAGAAAACUGAACUCAAAUGGAAGUCACUAUUAUGUUCUGAUAAUUUCGGAUUUUAUAAAACUAUAGGAGACGUAAUUGACGUUGAGAUUGUGAUUGACAUCUGGAGCAGGGCAAAAUUUAGUUCAACAUUACGUGAAGUUUAUUUAAUGUUUUUUUCUUAUUUUCCCUCGUUUUUUAUUAAAAAUUAUUUUUAAAAUAUAUUUACUAAUAAUCAUAAAAAGUAUAAUAUAUAUACAUUUGUUUAGAUAUAAGCUUAUUUUGUUGAUAAAUAUAUGUUAAAUAUAUUAAAGUUUAUUAAAAAGACUAUUUUUAAUGUUAUCUUUUUUCUUCAUAAUUAUAUAUCUAUCCUUUAUAAUUUUAGCACUCACAAUUUCCAGAAAGUUAAGUUCUUAAAUUAGUUUUACAUAAAACAACGAAACUGCAUUCAAAGAGUAUUUUUUGUUUUAUGUGAAAUUAAUUUAAGUACUUGACCUUCUGGGAAUUAUGUGCUAAAAUAUAUACAUGUACAUAUAUAACAACACUGUAAUUAUUUUUUAUAACAGCAAUAUAAUAGUCUAUAUUGCCAUUACAAAACAUCUCGGUUAUGGUUAUAUAACAGUUCAGUUCUGUUAUAUUUAUGUUAUAUAACUACAACAUCACACAAGUGGGAAAUUAUAACUAACAGGAAUGUUACAUGUAACGUUCAUGUAAUAUUAUCUGUUACAUUCCGUUUUAUUGCAGCAAUGUAAUGGUUAUAUGUAUAUUGGUGUUUGCUGGGAUGAUUUGUAUUAUAAACACAUGAAAAAUAUUUUAAUUUAUGUUUGUAAAAUUAUUAAGUGUUUAGAUUUUAUGUAUUAAAUAAUUAAUAUUUUAAGAAUAUUUAUUAAAUUAUGUUAUGUUUAAUAACAUUUAAAACAUGUAUGUAACUCAUGUUUUUAAAAUUGAGGACAGUAUAUUAUUCAGUAAUAUUUUAAAGAUAUUUAUCAAACGUUAUGUCACAACGUUUGAUAACAUUUAAAAAAUACAUUAAUGUUUUUUAAAUAUUUUAAUAAUAUUAGGACAGCAAUACUAUUGAGUAAUAUUUUAAAAAUUGUAUUUAUCAAACAUUAUGUCAUAACGUUUAAAAACAUUUAAAUAACAUCUAAUAAAUGUUUUUAAAAUAUUUUAAUAAUAUUAAGACAGCAACAUUAUUAAGUAACGUUUUAAAAAUAUUUAUGAAAUGUUAAGUUAUAAUGUUAAGAAAUUUCUCUAAAUAACGUUUCAAAAACGUUGAUCAAUGUUUCUUGCUUAUUAAGUAUAUUAUUGCAAAUUCAUUGCAAUAUUCUCAAAUGUGAACAUUUCAUUAUUUCUGAAAUUUAAUAGCAGUGAUACAUCAACAUUUCGCAGUGUAAUUGCAAUAUUGUAUUACUGCCAUGAAAAAUUGUUACAAUAAACGUAAUCUUUCAUAUUGUAUCCUGUAUAAGAAUAUUACAAUAAUUUUGCAAUAUUAUUGUAAUAUUAUGCACCGUGUGGGUUAAUAAAAAACCAAAUAUAUUGUGUAUAAACCAAGACAGAUAUUUGAAAGUAUUGUACAUUUAUUUGGUGGAAUUCUUUCUUAAUGCUAUCUACGGUACAUACACAUACUCGCGUACACACAUACAUACAUAACAUCUAAAGGCGAAAUAAAAUGGAAAUUACAUAACAGACAUAAGUGAUUGAACUAAAUAAAAAAUAUAUGUGUGAUACAAUAUAGAUAUGUCGACAUAAAUUUUUUUGCACUGAUAUUGUUAACAAUAUAUUAUGGCUGCGUUUCAAAAUUCACUGUCAGUACUGAGAAUCUAUAGUUCGUGUUAUUAUAGAUUUUCAGUACUGGCAGUAAAUUUCAGAACGUAUCCUAUAUAGCAUAUGUCUCAUACAAUGUAUUACUAACAAUGUAUUACUAAUGUAUAGCUAAACAAUUACAACGAUAAUAAAAACUUACGUAAUGAGAAUUAUCAUAAUACUUAAUGUAUGUUGUCAUAUUAAUAUUUACAUUAUAUGAAAUACAUAUAACAUCGUUGUCGAAAUUAUACGAUACUAUAGGUAAUGCAAUUGAAAUAGACGUCGUCCUUUAUGCUCGAUUUUUCGAACCUUAUUAAAUACGAAGAGUCUUUUCCUUAAGCGCAGAGAUACGACGCUUUUGAACAUUACAUUCUUUGGAACGUUCUAAAACUGAAUCAGUAGACGGUACUGUCUACGUGGAAGUUACUUCAAUAUCUCGUUCACCAAAUAUAUUUUCCUUUUUUUUUCUGUUACAUGAAAUCAUUAAAGGUUGAUAUGAAGCGACUUAUGGCGAAUUCGAUUGAAUGCACCAGUGCGCACUAAGUGCGACCUCGUUUAGUGCAGUUUAGUUUUUCUCAUUUUGAAUACAAGUACAUAUUUUAAAUAACAGAAUACGAAAUACUAAACGAGGGCGCACUAGUGCACACUGGUGCACCCAACCGAAUCGCCAUUAGAUUUUCAUACGCUGAGCGAUCAGUGAUGAAUAUAUCGUUGAAAUCUCAUAAUAUUCGAUAGGAGUUUAUAUAUUGAUAACGAUAGCGUUUAAUGAUACUGUGU